GAGUUUGAUCCUGGCUCAGAACGAACGCUGGCGGCGUGCCUAACACAUGCAAGUCCAACGUGAAAGGGGAGCAAUCCCCCGGUAGGGUGGCAAACGGGUGAGUAAUACAUGGGUGAUCUACCUUAGGGAUGGGGAUAUCCUUCCGAAAGGAGGGGCAAUACCGAAUAUUGUCCGGAGCCGUGAAGGGUUCCGGGGAAAGGGAGGCCUCUGAUACAAGCUUUCGCCUUAAGAUGAGCCCAUGGCCCAUCAGCUAGUUGGUAGGGUAAAGGCCUACCAAGGCUACGACGGGUCGCUGGUCUGAGAGGACGACCAGCCACACUGGCACUGAGAUACGGGCCAGACUCCUACGGGAGGCAGCAGUGAGGAAUAUUGCGCAAUGGGGGAAACCCUGACGCAGCAACGCCGCGUGUGGGAAGAAGGCCUUCGGGUCGUAAACCACUUUUGCACGGGACGAAAAAGGGAUAUCGAACAAAUAUCCCCGAUGACGGUACCGUGAGAAUAAGCCACGGCUAACUCUGUGCCAGCAGCCGCGGUAAGACAGAGGUGGCAAGCGUUGUUCGGAAUUACUGGGCGUAAAGAGUCUGUAGGUGGUUUGUCAAGCCUUUGGUGAAAGGCCGUAGCUUAACUAUGGGAAUGCCAAAGAGACUGGCAGGCUGGAGGCUGGGAGAGGGAAGCGGAAUUUCUGGUGUAGCGGUGAAAUGCGUAGAUAUCAGAAGGAAGGCCGGUGGCGAAGGCGGCUUCCUGGAACAGUCCUGACA
RNAcentral lists this ribosomal RNA (758 nucleotides) under uncultured bacterium. Its description in RNAcentral is "bacterial SSU rRNA". It matches the Rfam family "Bacterial small subunit ribosomal RNA", at positions 9 to 745 of the family's 1533-position model. The record is from RNAcentral.